This 440-nucleotide ribosomal RNA is filed under the name uncultured bacterium. Its description in RNAcentral is "partial 16S ribosomal RNA". It matches the Rfam family "Bacterial small subunit ribosomal RNA", at positions 338 to 795 of the family's 1533-position model. The record is from RNAcentral.
CCUACGGGGGGCAGCAGUGGGGAAUAUUGCACAAUGGGGGAAACCCUGAUGCAGCGACGCCGCGUGAGUGAAGAAGUAUUUCGUUAUGUAAAGCCCUAUCAGCAGGGAAGAAAAUGACGGUAUCUGAGUAAGAAGCCCCGGCUAACUCCGUGCCAGCAGCCGCGGUAAUACGUAGGGGGCAAGCGUUACUCGGAUUUACUGGGCGUAAAGGGAGCGUAGACGGGAGAGCAAGUCUGGAGUGAAAGGCGGGGGCUCAACCACCGGACUGCUCUGGAAACUGUUCGGCUGGAGUGCAGGAGAGGUAAGUGGAAUUCCUAGUGUAGCGGUAAAAUGCGUAGAUAUUAGGAGGAACACCAGUGGCGAAGGCGGCUUACUAGACUGUAACUGACGUUGAGGCGCGAAAGCGUGGGGAGCAAACAGGAUUAGAUACCCGUGUAGUC